RNAcentral lists this transfer RNA (71 nucleotides) under Sminthurus viridis. RNAcentral's name for it is "tRNA-Phe". Lineage: Eukaryota; Metazoa; Arthropoda; Collembola; Symphypleona; Sminthuridae. The record is from RNAcentral.
UAUUUAUUUUCAUAAACAUUUGUGAUGAUUUUUGAUGAAACCAAAAAUAAUUCACUGAGCCCCCUAAGUUC